ACAUACGAUGCGGAACAGCAUCGACACGUAAAAGAGUACACUACACCCGACUUCAGAGCUUUGGGUAUUUUGUCCUUAAAAGAGAAAAAGGUGGAAAGCCGUUUAGUUGAUCGAAAGACAAAUCUUAUAUCAAGAUGUGGGAAAGCAGCACGACAAAGACGGUUGAUUUGCGUGCGGAUUUGCAAGGAGUGAGUGCCCGUAAAAGGGAGACAGAAAUAAAUUAUUUUCUUAGGA
Non-coding RNA from Paramuricea clavata, 234 nucleotides. The record is from the annotation of a GenBank genome assembly. NCBI's taxonomy places the organism in Eukaryota, Metazoa, Cnidaria, Anthozoa, Malacalcyonacea, Plexauridae.